UUAUCUUAUCAGCUCUUG
RNAcentral lists this non-coding RNA (18 nucleotides) under Sclerotinia trifoliorum. Lineage: Eukaryota; Fungi; Ascomycota; Leotiomycetes; Helotiales; Sclerotiniaceae. The record is from RNAcentral.